CUUCUUGUGUCUCCUGGCGCCUCGGUGCGCGCCUUUCUUCUCACUGGCGUGGGCAGCGUGGUGAACCACUCUGUCAGUUUCACAUGAGCGCGUCUUAUUUUUCUGCCGUCUUGUUUUUCGUGCGAUCGCUGUUAAAUGGGAACACUUACGGGGCAGGCCUGCAGGGUGACAGUGAGACUAAUAAAGGGCCGCUGAAAGGCUGGGUGUGUUUUUUGUUUCUGUCGGCAGGCCACUGGGCAGGGUCUCUCACCAACUCAAACUUCCCUGCUCUCUCACUCCUGAAGAUAUAUUCAGCCUGAUAUAAACCUAUAGCAGAAAUUGCCAUGUUUAUAGCUAACAACAAAAAAUAGUUUUGGUUUCUAUGGCUGCAUGGAUGGGAACUGUACAGGUUAUUUGGAAGUAAAACUGUCACGGCAGCGGCGGCAGACGUGUGGAGGGUGUGAAAGAGGACCCAGAUGCUGGCACUGGCUUGGAUGGGAGCGAGCUUUAUUUACACACACCGGUGGUGCAAACAGAAACACAGUGAGCAAAACAAAACCUAAAGGUGACCUAAACUGGAAAUGACUAACAAACGAACCUGAACGGGCGACUCUGGGAGAAAACGCAGGGAAGAAACACAGAUGGACUAGCGAUGAACAUGAGCAAACACACACUAUAAAUACUCAGAAGGGAACGAGGAGACUACACACAGCAGGGAGGCACAGCUGAUUGUGAUCGACAAGACGAGACAGGGGAAACGCAAACUGAACACACUGGCAUAAGACACAGACUUUCACAAUAAAACAGGAAACUCAAAACACAAGCGAAGGCACAGACUCAGAGACGCGGGCUUUACACAGAGACCUGACUACACUAGGGGGGAUACACAGGCAGGGAUGGCACAGAACAGAGGGAGCACAGAAUUAACACUGGGAAGUCAAAUAACAAAACCUAAAAAUCAGAACUCGGGAAGCACCACGAAACUAGGGAGCUAGAAACACUAGGACAGAAACCAAACCACAGUCACAAUCCAUGAUGAAAUCAAAAGUAAAAAGUACAAAAACCAAAAACACUGGGUCACCGACCAGGGACCAUAACAAAAACCCGAGGUGGACAUGUACAAAAUAUCAGUAAUAAAGCCACAAGCGUGUGCAUGCACAGCUAUGGUAAAAAACAUGGUCUUAGCCUUGUUUUUUAAGCUUUGCUGUAAGAGUAAUGAAUAAAACGAUAAGAAUAACAAUUCCUCAAGAACACAGUUUUUAGAUCCUCUCAGAUGCAUCUUGAGAUUGAAUAAUUGUAAUUCUGUGCCUGCUUAAAGCUGAGCUGAUCAGAAACUCUUCUUCAUCUUGAUGUCUUGUGGGCUCAGCUCAAAAGGAAAAUAAACAAACAGGCAUGGUUGUUGCAUUUUCUGCUUCUGGGUACUGGGGCAGCUCUAGCAGUGAGAGCUAGCAUUGUAUCACCGCUUCUGAUGACCUUUGACCUCUGUUUAGUAGGACUGGCCCCGUGCCAGACAAUCCACUCAGUCCUGUGCAUAUGGGUGGAGGAAUGUGCUGGGCUGCAGUGAGCUCAUUAAACAGUACAGUGAGCGAGGGGUGAAGGUCUGUUGUUUGCACUAGCUCGCCUUCUCAGGCCCUUUGUGUGCCGAUGGAGCCUCCUGAGGGACACUGUGUCCACCAGGAAAGUGUGUGUGUGCGAAAACACUGCACAAAUGGUCACUGCAACCUUUUUCCUCUGGUGCACAAUACAUCAAUACCCCUAACGUGCACACCCAGCCUGCCGCAGAUGCACUCGAGCUGGAAAACAAGAUAUAUUGUUUUCCUUCCAAGGCCCAGAGUGUGAGGAGGUCUGUGAGAAUGGCCUGAUCUGUACCCGACAACCUUGGAGCGCAAGUCAGCGGUUUGGCUUGUUCCAGUUUCAGCAGCGUGCAGCUUUCUGAGCAAAAGUUCCUUUUUUUUUCACCUCCCCGGCUUAGUCUGUGCUUUGUUUUGGCACUGAGCUGCUGAUGGAGAAAAAAGAUGGAGGGGGAGGGAAGGCCAGAGAUCAGACACAAUCAUCCCGUGGUGGCAGCACAUGAGAACAGUCAGGUGGUGAUUUCUGGGCAGAAAACAAGUUGAUCAAGCAGAUUCACUAUUAAAUCCUCAACUGCAGGCAAGAGUAUGGGGCAGUCUGAUUUAGCAUUUUUAGCAGUUUCUAUUUGCAAACUUUUAUAAAAACAAACAAACAAAAAGAGACAUCUUGCAAAUAUUGAUAUUGUUGUAUAAUGAAGCCCCAAUCCUUUCAAACAAAAUCUGGCUCAACCCAAAUCAAAGACUAUCCUAUUUUCAAACCAGACAAAUUGGAAAAUUUGAAGUGAUUCACAACCAUGUGGCACGGUGGUGGGGGCAGUCUGCUUCCCAUCAUUAACAUAGCAUAUGCGUUCAUCUCGUGCAAUGUUUUGCACAGCGGUUUUAGGCAAUCUGAUAAACACCGCGUGACCGGGGCUUGUUUAAGUAAUAACAGUGAGAGGGGGUCCUAAGCCCCACUCCGAAUCGGCUGUGUGCUCCUGAAGAAAACUUUCUCGUGGCGGGAGAACCCAUGCUGCUGCUGCUAAUGCGAGGGAGCUGUCAGGGACACACGUGCCAGGUUUAAUUCUCUUAAUUGUAUGCAGCUAAUCGUGUGUUGACAGAGAUGUUGUUUUUACACGGGGGAAGAGCCUGAUUCUUCUUGGCCGGGGCGGAGCGCACACUUUUGUUACUGUAAGGUUAACUAGUGGGGAUGGUGUGGGAAAAGCUAGGUGUUUCCCCUCAUUUUAACCUUUGUGUAAUGCUAGGCUAACCAUAUGCUGGUUUCACCUUCAUAGUUAGUAUUCAGAUAUCAGAGCAGUAUCAGUCUUCUCAUCUGAAAUAGUGAACAAGUGGGUUUUUGUUCACCAGUUUCAUGAACUGAAGAUCUGCUAAGAUAAGUAUUUUUUUUAACCACAGAGAUCAGAUUUUAGAAGAAUUUGUCACAGGCUGACUUUUUCACAGGGGGGCGACGACUAACUUUUCAGGUGCAGCCGACAGACACCUGUCUCCACCAGUCAUUGCAUAUGAAUGCAGAACAAAUAAAAACUAAAGCUUCUUAAAGACUGACUCAUUAUUGCUUGAUAGCAGAUGUGAUCGGCUCAAAUUAUGAAAGCACAACCUUUGUAAGCCAGAGCUUCUGGAAACAAAUAUUUUGUCUCUGGCCUAUAAAUUCUUCUUACUCAUUUUUAGCUAUUAAAGUUGGGCAUAUAUUAAAAGUGUUCUGACACUUGGAUGGCAAAAGGGGGAGGGGCCUCCUUCAGGUUUUCUAAACCUGUCCAGUGGGCCAUAUUGGAGUCUUUCCCGAGCCGAUUCUGCCCCCCUGGCCUUAUGUUUGACACCCCUGCUCUAAAGGAUGAAGGCGACUAAACCAGCAAAGCAAAGUGAAAAAAUGUUACACGUAAAUCCCUUUCUAAGAAGCUGUUAGCCCACAUAUUUGGCGAAUCGGCCAACCCUAGCAAAACGUCUGUUUAAAAAAAUAAUAUUUUCAUUUUGGUCCUGGCAGCGUUUCACUUUAUUUUUUUAUCUUUUUUGCAGCUGCAGAAAACAUGGGUGUGGUCUUCUCUCUUUGGUGGCGAGUUUGUGCGUUUAACUCUUUGCUCAUUUGUUUCUUAUGUGGUCAAAGGGCACCAGGGCACUCUUCUCUCUUCUGCGUGGCAGGUAAAAUAUGAGGCCAGGAUACAUGAAGGGCCCGAGGUGAAUAACAUUGGUGAAAAAACACGGAAAAACAGAGUUUUCUUGAGGUGGGUAGUCGGGCAGAGUAUUCAGGGAAACGCCUUGUUUUUGUUUUUUUUUCGCUACGAGAGAGCGGUGGGGGUAGGGUGAGGUGCAAGAUGGUUGCCCAUUGGCUCAAGUUACCCUUUGGAUGAUGCUUAUGGAGCGCUGCCUAGUGCAGCUGAGCACACUGCACUCAAAGGGUCCUUUUUUCAAACCAGAGAGAAAGUCAUCCACAUGCUCGGACCCCCCCCCCCCCCCCGAACCCCCCCUCCCUCGCUGCAGAACCCCUGUUCCUCCCUGCCUGCUUCCCCUGGCUGCAGACCAAGUGCUUCAUGUGGCUCGAAUGGGGUAAGCUGGAGGUGGCCCCCACCCCUGUCCUCAGAAGACACUUGUUUUCCAGUGGGAUGAGGGUGUGUUAGUGUUGGCAGGGUGGAGCAGAGAGUUGGAGGGGUUCAGCGGAUGGGGGGUUAGGCUGACUUGCCUCCUGGGAGAGGAGGCAAUAAAAGACUGAGAGCACUUUCACAUGACCCUUUCACACACCUAUGUGCACCUGUAGAGAGAUGACACAUUGUUUGUUAAAGGCAUAUCUUACUGUUUUUAAGAUUAUUUUAUUAAUAAUUGUGCAAUCAAAUCCCUAAAAAUCGAUCCUGUGCAUGAAGUGAGACUGGUGAGAUUUAUUGCCAACAAGAUGUCUCUGGUCGAGGUCUAAGUGAAACAGACGUGGCUACUGAGAUGGUCUCAUUUUGCGUGAAAAAUGAAGGUGACGCCCUUCCUGAAAAA
This is a long non-coding RNA of Oreochromis niloticus (Nile tilapia), 4517 nucleotides long. RefSeq lists it as uncharacterized. The transcript is spliced from 2 exons. The record is from RefSeq and is a predicted model, not a curated record. Lineage: Eukaryota; Metazoa; Chordata; Actinopteri; Cichliformes; Cichlidae.